UUGUCUGUUUGUUUUUGUAGGAAGCUUAUUUCUUCUAUUUACCAGAUACCUCAGGAGGCCUAUAACUUACUACAGUUAAUGAAGCAGCUGCCACAUAGCACCUUUUCACAAAACUUUUUGUGAAAAGCUUGUUUUAAGAGGUAUACUAUUGAAGAUGUGUAAUCUUCUUUUUGACAGACACAACAUAAGACAAAAAUUCUUUCACAGAAAUUUGAAUUUUCCACUGUAUGUGGUGAUAAUAUUUUUUUUAAUUAGCUGACUAUCAGAUCUGAAAUUUGUAAACAGGUAUCUUUUUUCUUAUGAAUUUUUUUUCAGACCAUAGUAAUUUUUAUCAUCCCAAUUAUUUUUGUGUCAUGCACACAGCGUCUCAAAGAGGAUUUGUUUGGCAUAAGAUAUAAAAAUUCCCUAAUUUUUAAGAAGAUAAAAGUAAUCCUUUGAGUUACAUUUUUCCUCAUUUUGGUAGAUAUUUUAGUGUUGCUGCACUAUAAAAAUGUGUUCGUAAAGGAAAUUUUGGUAACAAAGAAUUUUACUAAAAUAAUGCUCAAGAAACAUAAACAUGAAUAAACUAAAAAUUCAAAAGACA
Long non-coding RNA from Pseudopipra pipra, 583 nucleotides. RefSeq lists it as uncharacterized. Lineage: Eukaryota; Metazoa; Chordata; Aves; Passeriformes; Pipridae. The transcript has 2 exons. The record is from RefSeq and is a predicted model, not a curated record.